This 117-nucleotide non-coding RNA is filed under the name unclassified sequences. Its description in RNAcentral is "Betaproteobacteria-1 RNA". It matches the Rfam family "Betaproteobacteria-1 RNA". The record is from Rfam by way of RNAcentral.
CGCUUCACUUGUGGGACGUAACCGCAGGAGUGAGGGGAUAAGCGUACUGUGGGGAAGAUGCUGAGAUACGCAAAGGGGUGGCGAAGAUAGUGCCCUAGCAUCGGAAGACUGUCGGGU